CGGGAAUAUUGCGCAAUGGAGGAAACUCUGACGCAGCGACGCCGCGUGCAGGAAGAAGGUUUUCGGAUUGUAAACUGAUUUAGACAGGGAAGAAACAAGACAGUACCUGUAGAAUAAGCUCCGGCUAACUACGUGCCAGCAGCCGCGGUAAUACGUAGGGAGCAAGCGUUAUCCGGAUUUAUUGGGUGUAAAGGGUGCGUAGACGGGAAAUUAAGUUAGUUGUGAAAUCCCUCGGCUUAACUGAGGAACUGCAACUAAAACUGGUUUUCUUGAGUGCUGGAGAGGAAAGUGGAAUUCCUAGUGUAGCGGUGAAAUGCGUAGAUAUUAGGAGGAACACCAGUGGCGAAGGCGACUUUCUGGACAGUAACUGACGUUGAGGCACGAAAGUGUGGGGAGCAAAC
This 401-nucleotide ribosomal RNA is filed under the name uncultured bacterium. RNAcentral's name for it is "bacterial SSU rRNA". It matches the Rfam family "Bacterial small subunit ribosomal RNA", at positions 356 to 773 of the family's 1533-position model. The record is from RNAcentral.